UACAGAGGGUGCAAGCGUUGCUCGGAAUCAUUGGGCGUAAAGGGCAAGUAGGUGGUCUCAUUUGUCUGAUGUGAAAGCCUUGAGCUUAACUCAAGAAGUGCGUCAGAAACGGUGAGACUCGAGUUCUGGAGAGGGUCGUGGAAUUCCCGGUGUAGCGGUGAAAUGCGUAGAUAUCGGGAGGAACAUCAGUGGCGAAAGCGCUCUGCUGGACUGCAACUGACACUGAGGGACGAAAGCUAGGGGAGCGAAAGGG
This 253-nucleotide ribosomal RNA is filed under the name uncultured bacterium. RNAcentral's name for it is "partial 16S ribosomal RNA". It matches the Rfam family "Bacterial small subunit ribosomal RNA", at positions 524 to 776 of the family's 1533-position model. The record is from RNAcentral.